This 1961-nucleotide unclassified non-coding RNA is filed under the name Hevea brasiliensis (rubber tree). The record is from RNAcentral. Lineage: Eukaryota; Viridiplantae; Streptophyta; Magnoliopsida; Malpighiales; Euphorbiaceae.
GGAAAAUCUUAUAAUAUAAACUACACAUGUUUAAUUGCUAAUACCAUCAUGUGUUUACUUAUUGGCAUCGAGCACCAAAUUUUCACAUCAAUGAUACUGUGAAAAAAACGCCACAGAUAGCUCGUUUUCUACUAACUGACUGAGCAAUCUUAUCACCUCACAUGACAUGUUUUGCAACAGAAAUUGUAUAUAAAUCUAGCAAGCUAACAACAUUUAGCCCAAAAGAAAUCAGAAGAGUGAUGGAAGAAAAUAAAAUAUAUAUGAAGGUAACUACUAUUCCUUUAAAAAGCAUCUCUAUACUAGCAUGUGGGCAGAGUCGUAACUUAAAACGCGGAACUCUGACGCAAACUUGCAGUUGCUUCCGUUAGAGAGCUCAAAAGGGUCUCACCCACCUCAGCUUUGCAAAGGGGACAUGAGUUGUUGAUUUUCAGCCACUUAUCAACACAGUCCUUGUGGAAGAAAUGAGAACAGGGUAACUCCCUUAGCUCAUCAUUGUUCACAUACUUUGCUAAGCAAAUGCAACAUGCCGCAUCUUCUCCUGAAAUCACACGCUCCUUGUCCGUUCCUGCAGCCACAACCCCACCUUCAGCAGCCUCUUUGUUGCCACUUUUGUUUUUCUUUACCUUAAAUUUAUAGGUCGGAAGAGCAUUAAUUGAUUCUGGUGUGGCGCCUUUGUUUUGAGUCAGAUCUUCUCGGAAGCCCAUGACUGAAAUAAUGCAGGGGAGGCAGCAGCAUAUUGUUGCACAUAGAAUAAAUGGCAUGGCAUACCCGAUACAGCUAAAGGUCAGAAAUACUAUACACAACCUACGGAUGAAUAGAAACAUGAGCAAAUAUGAUGCUGGUAGAGAUGAUAGAAAGUAAGGAAACACCCCAAAAUGAAAACAACAGUGAAAGAUCACCUGUACAAGUUGGGAGCCUCAGAGGAAGAGGAGUGUCCGCCAAAUAUCCACACAUUUCCAACCACAAACCACACUGCAAAAAAACAAUCUAAUGCCAUUUUGAAGUACUCAACAAAUGAUUUUAUCCUUGUGCUCAGUAUUUCAUUACUUUGACCACCUGUAGAAGCUGUAGCAGUUGUCUGACGACCUUCACCUUCUGAACUCCUUGUACUUGAGGAUGGUCUGGCUGAGAGUUCAACCUGGGAAGAAAUCUGUGGCUGCUGAGAUGAAUCCUGAUCUGAAUUUUGGUUUCUAUGACGAAAACGCCAGUAGAGAAGAGGGAGAAUUGCUACACACCCAGAUGCAUAACCAACUAUCCAUUGGGCUAGAGGAGCUCGUGGGUGCUCAUCCCUUGAUAUGGCCAACACCGCGAUUGCUGCAAUUAUUUGGCUCAAUGUCAAGACUAGUUCAAUGGAUAUCCAGAGCACAGAAUUCAGAGGACUCCGAUGGCGGCGCCCACUUCCUCUUCGAGCAAAUGAUGAGUUCCUCAAGUUGGAUCUACUAGCAGAAGAAAAUGCAUGUUGGGAGACGGGCACUGUUGUGCUUGUUGAUGGGGGAUGUUCAGCUUGGACAUGAAGCACAUUAUUAACUGGUCUAUCAUGGGGGUUGCUUGAUGAGGAUGCAUCAUUGCUACUAGUUAUGUCAAUUACAUGCUCAUCGUUGCUACGGUUAUCUGCUUGCUCCAUUAAUAAUUGAAACUGGUUAGUUUGGCUUUUCCGGUGUAGCCCCAAUGAGGAAAUGGCCAUCUAAGUCCACUGACUGAGAGAUAAUUAUAGGAAACAUGGGAUGCAAAAGUCUUAAGCAGUGAAGUAUGAGUUCACCAGAUGAAAAAUUCUUCUCCUCUUCACAAUCACCCAGUAAAUUCAGAGACUGCAGCAGCUAUAUAUGAGAAGUCUAAGCAGGUUUUCUACUGCAGCUGAAGAAUCAGAUGAAUCGAAAGCAAAGAAAAGUCUUUUGGAUUGAAUAACACUUAGUUGAGCUGUGGAUUUCUGAGUUUACGCGUUUUCUCUGUAGAUUUUUUCU